Molecule: ribosomal RNA, 163 nt
Filed under: Bupleurum falcatum
Lineage: Eukaryota; Viridiplantae; Streptophyta; Magnoliopsida; Apiales; Apiaceae
Also listed under: 3 other names
Description: 5.8S ribosomal RNA
Rfam family: 5.8S ribosomal RNA
About the family: 5.8S ribosomal RNA (5.8S rRNA) is a component of the large subunit of the eukaryotic ribosome. It is transcribed by RNA polymerase I as part of the 45S precursor that also contains 18S and 28S rRNA.
Source: RNAcentral
CAAACGACUCUCGGCAACGGAUAUCCCGGCUCUCGCAUCGAUGAAGAACGUAGCGAAAUGCGAUACUUGGUGUGAAUUGCAGAAUCCCGUGAACCAUCGAGUUUUUGAACGCAAGUUGCGCCCGAUGCCAUUAGGCUGAGGGCACGUCUGCCUGGGUGUCACG